This 1544-nucleotide long non-coding RNA is filed under the name Nicotiana tabacum (common tobacco). RNAcentral's name for it is "long non-coding RNA (NTAB_LNC010733)". Lineage: Eukaryota; Viridiplantae; Streptophyta; Magnoliopsida; Solanales; Solanaceae. The record is from RNAcentral.
UUUUUUUUUAAGUCUGCGAACUAGAAAUUCUAGAUAAGGAAUUCUGUUAACCCGGGAGAAGGUGUUAGGUAUUUCCGGGUUCUGUGGUUCUAGCACGGUCGCUUAGCGAUUAUUACUUGACUUAAAUCGUCUAAUUACUUAUUUUUUAGGACCUAUAUGCAUUUAUAUUUUUACCGCUUUUAAUCACUUAAAUUAUUCAUAAUUAAAGAACUGAGUUACGCGUAUGUAUACCCUUUUCUUUUGGCGCGUUAAAAUCAUGUCACGCGAACGUAUCCAUGAUUAAUAAUGCUUUUGUUGAUUUAUUAAGAAAGUUUGGUUGAAGUUGCGCGAGCAACUACUCCUCUAAUUUAGGUCACGUAACCUUGAAUCACGGCACAUACAAGUAUUAAUUUCAAAGAGGUAAAAGAUUGGAAUUUAAAGUCCUUCAAAGAAUCAGUGGAGCUUGGUCUAAAGAAAUUAACAUUUUUGCUUUGAGUUUUGUUACUGAUCGAAAUGAAUGAACAUCACACUUAAACACGAUCUAAUAUUAGUCUUCUAUCAUUGUAUGCUUUAUUAAUUAACUAAUGAAUUCACAUUUCAGAAUGCAAAUUGAGUUGCUCUGUAAUGGAUUAAAUAUUAGCUCAAAGAUCAAUAUCUUGAUAUAAGCAACCACAACGUCCACGAAUAUAAUCCAAAAAAAAAACACUUGAACCAAAAUAAUCUCAAAAUAUAUUACAAGAAAUAAAUCAACUAUUGCUAUGAUUGACAUCCAUAAUUUACAAUUUAACUCAUUUGGGCAUAUCCCGUAUAUUAGACAGAGAAAUUAAGAUUGAAUCUUUACCCAACACCAUCUUUUCGGUCGAAUUGGAAUAAGGUACUGAUUUUCAUAUGCAUUGACUAAUUUCUAUCAAAGAGCCAAAAACAAAAUAAAACAUUGAAGCUCAAAACAAAUAUAAAAAGUGAAAGGAAGAAAAAACAAUAAAAAAAAAGGCCAAGGAUAACAUACCAAGCAAACGAAAGCACCAAAAUUAAAAAAACAAAAGUAGCAGUAGAAUCACGUUUCAAUGGUAUUCAAAUAACUUCAGAAAUAGACCAUGUAGAGCUAAACAAAAACUAAGGGAUUUCAUUGUGUACCUAUGAUUCAGGUGACAGUAGAGUCACAAAAAAAAAAAAAACAAAUGAAGGCAGAAGAGAAAGAAGUCAGAGCUCAGCUAGCAGCAGUCCAUGGACCCAGCAAUCAACAACGAACAUCUCUGGAUUUCAAUUUGAAGAUCAGCUUCGAAUCCUCCUUCAUUUCUCCGUUUUCUUCUUCUUUUUCUUCUUUUUUUAUUUAAAUUGAGAUUUUCAGAUUGUUUUCUUUGGGAAAAAUCAGUGAGGAUGGGUGGAAGGUGUCUCGCGGCACCUAGUAUGGAGAAAGAGAGGUCAGUCGCUGUUGGGUGGUCUUCAACGGAGAAGAAGAAGAGGAGAAGAGGCUGCUUUAGGAGUUUUUCUUUUCUUUUUUGGAGAGAUCCGCCGCUUUUGGUUCUAAUGAAGGGGUCUCAUGAUCUGAUCCCUUUGGUUAUCAG